This 63-nucleotide transfer RNA is filed under the name bovine gut metagenome. It matches the Rfam family "tRNA", at positions 6 to 63 of the family's 71-position model. From Rfam's summary of the family: Transfer RNA (tRNA) molecules are approximately 80 nucleotides in length. Their secondary structure includes four short double-helical elements and three loops (D, anti-codon, and T loops). The record is from RNAcentral.
CCUGUAGCUCAGUUGGAUAGAGCAACAGCCUUCUAAGCUGUGGGUCUUGGGUUCGAAUCCCAA